CGAGCGGAUAGCCCUUCGGGGGACACGAGCGGCGAACGGUCGAGUAACACGUGAGCAACCUGCCCUUAGCUUCGGGAUAGCUCCGGGAAACCGGAAUUCAUACCGGAUAUGACCACGGCCGACAUCGGCCAUGGUGGAAAGUUUUUCGGCUAGGGAUGGACUCGCGGCCUAUCAGCUAGUUGGUGAGGUAACGGCCCACCAAGGCGACGACGGGUAGCCGGCCUGAGAGGGCGACCGGCCACACUGGGACUGAGACACGGCCCAGACUCCUACGGGAGGCAGCAGUGGG
Molecule: ribosomal RNA, 289 nt
Filed under: uncultured Actinomycetales bacterium
Lineage: Bacteria; Bacillati; Actinomycetota; Actinomycetes; Actinomycetales
Description: partial 16S ribosomal RNA
Rfam family: Bacterial small subunit ribosomal RNA
Source: RNAcentral